Malaclemys terrapin pileata is the source of this 272-nucleotide long non-coding RNA. RefSeq lists it as uncharacterized. The transcript is spliced from 3 exons. Lineage: Eukaryota; Metazoa; Chordata; Testudines; Emydidae. The record is from RefSeq and is a predicted model, not a curated record.
GAGGCUGUUGCUGAACCCGUCCCAGACGCAGCCGGGCGCGUCCCAGACCCAGCGGCUGCGGAGGCAGGACACGAAGAUAAGUUUAGCAACUUGAUAAGUUCAUACAAGAAGUAAGUGGCAGAGCCAGGAAUGGACCUCACUCCCCUGACUAACCAUUGGACCAUGCUGUGUCCCUUAGCACCAUUGAGAAAAUGAUGAAAUAGAUUAUGAUAAAUUCUAUGAGACAGUACAAACCCUCUUUGGUCCAGAAGUGAAGGAUCAAGAUGUUAAGA